Molecule: ribosomal RNA, 253 nt
Filed under: uncultured bacterium
Lineage: Bacteria
Description: partial 16S ribosomal RNA
Rfam family: Bacterial small subunit ribosomal RNA
Source: RNAcentral
UACGGGGGGGGCAAGCGUUGUUCGGAAUUACUGGGCGUAAAGGGCGCGUAGGCGGCCUGCUAAGUCGGACGUUAAAUCCCUCGGCUCAACCGGGGAACUGCGUCCGAUACUGGUGGGCUCGAAUCCGGGAGAGGGAUGUGGAAUUCCAGGUGUAGCGGUGAAAUGCGUAGAUAUCAGGAGGAACACCGGUGGCGAAGGCGGGUCUCUGGGCCGAUACUGACGCUGAGGAGCGAAAGCAUGGGUAGCGAACAGG